UCCAGACAAUGAGGCUCCCUCAGGUAGUGGCUGCAGUUGGCAUAUAAAUGGCAUCCUUGCCAGAUCAGCCCCAAUCUGCUGUCUGUGUGUUUCAUAGGGAAACCAGCUCUGUGCCUGCCUGCACAGUUCAGGUUGAAGCAGGACUACUGACGUAGAAGCCAUGGCAGCAGACUUCUGCCCGGGGCGUGGAAUGAGUACAUUCUUCCCUGUCAAGUCCUGGGAAUUAUUUUCCACCAUGAGCACAGUGCUCUUUUUAGCUUUGCAUCACUGAGUAACUGUCAGGAGACAAGCGCUAUGACAAGAAAAAUCCAUCCUUAAAACCGUCUGUUUAUUUGUACCCAAAGACAUGUUGUUGAGGUUAGAGGUUGGUGUAAAAUCUUCUGAUAUAUAGGUGCAUAUACAUACAUACACACACAGACACAUGCACAAGCUAGAAAAGUUCUUGCUUACUAAUUUAAAGAAGACUAUAACUAUAUUUACAUUAGGGUCUAACAUAGGGACUUAUUUCUUUUAACAAAUAUAGGCUGGAUAAGAAUUAUAACUAAGUUGGUAAUGCAACUCUAAUUGAGGGAAUUAAAUUAUUAUACCUAAUAAAAAUCACAGCACUCAUUUUUACUUUAUCCAUAGUAACUACAAUGGGAGGGAUAGAGUGGGAAUUUUUUUAUUUAUGAAUGAAUAUAUUUGCAUGGAUUACAAGUUGAGAAAUAACUCCAAUUUGAUGUUAAAUAUCAAUGAAAACAACCAUAAAGGUUUCACAAAAGUGUGCUAGAAUUAAUGAACUUGAAAAAUAAUUCAACUAAUCAGCAGUUUGAUGGGUUUAGAGCAAAAAUUAGAGAAAUGGAAGAAAGGGUAAAACUAUUGGAAAAACACAGUAGGGAAUGUAAGUAGAGUGUGAAAACUGCUGCGGAACAGAUUGCUGUUAUAAUUAGAGACAAUAUUUCACUCUCCUUUAAAUACAAGUCCCUGGAAAUUGCUCUGAGUGAAAGAGGGGGAGGCACAGCUGUUUGAGUGUACAGCUGGUGGGAAUGACAAAGACUAUAGUCAGACGUAAACCAGUUAAAAAAAUAGACUAGCUAAGUAACAGUAACACCUGGCUUGAGCAUAAUGACAAAUAUGCAUUAUUCUUAAGGAAAUAAAACAUAGAGGGUUUUUAUGGAGAAUACAAAAAUUUCUACCUGGUAAUAAAUAUGUUUCAUGCAUAUAAGAAUCUCUACAACUAGUGGCUCACGCCUGUAAUCCCAGCACUUUGGGAGGCCAAGGCGGGUGGAUCACCUGAGGUCAGCAGUUCGAGACCAGCCUGG
This 1301-nucleotide long non-coding RNA is filed under the name Homo sapiens (human). RNAcentral describes it as "HSALNT0205203". The record is from RNAcentral. Lineage: Eukaryota; Metazoa; Chordata; Mammalia; Primates; Hominidae.